RNAcentral lists this unclassified non-coding RNA (210 nucleotides) under fungal sp. RNAcentral's name for it is "partial internal transcribed spacer region". The stretch from base 1 to 46 matches the Rfam family "Eukaryotic small subunit ribosomal RNA", at positions 1786 to 1831 of the family's 1831-position model. Lineage: Eukaryota; Fungi. The record is from RNAcentral.
AAGUCGUAACAAGGUUUCCGUAGGUGAACCUGCGGAAGGAUCAUUCCAAAAGAGAAGUUUCUUCUCAAUCAUACUGUGAAUUUGUUAUGUCAACCCACUGGCUAUUGCCUUUGGGAAAGGGGCCGCCUAUGCGGUUCCGCCAAUGUAUUAAAAACAUCAAAAGCUUUAUAGAAACUUAUACAACUUUUAACAAUGGAUCUCUUGGUUCUU